This is a non-coding RNA of Heligmosomoides polygyrus, 75 nucleotides long. Lineage: Eukaryota; Metazoa; Nematoda; Chromadorea; Rhabditida; Heligmosomidae. The record is from Rfam.
GCGCCGGUGGUUUAAAGGCGUAGAGCAUUCCCGCCCUGUCAGAGGGAGGUGCGGGUUCGAGUCUCGCCUGGCGCU